This 253-nucleotide ribosomal RNA is filed under the name uncultured bacterium. RNAcentral's name for it is "partial 16S ribosomal RNA". It matches the Rfam family "Bacterial small subunit ribosomal RNA", at positions 524 to 776 of the family's 1533-position model. The record is from RNAcentral.
UACGGAGGGUGCGAGCGUUGUCCGGAAUCACUGGGCGUAAAGGGCGCGUAGGCGGCCUGCUAAGUCGAACGUGAAAUCCCUGGGCUCAACCCAGGAACUGCGUCCGAUACUGGUUGGCUUGAAUCCGGGAGAGGGAUGUGGAAUUCCAGGUGUAGCGGUGAAAUUCGUAGAUAUCUGGAGGAACACCGGUGGCGAAGGCGGCAUCCUGGACCAACACUGACGCUGAGGAGCGAAAGCCAGGGGAGCAAACGGG